CGAGUAAACUGUUCACAUACGUAACCAACUGAAAACAGGAAGGGGUGCGUGUGUGUACGUGGUGUAGAUGAAGGGGAAUUCACAGAUCGAGAUCAGUGGACUAGUCAUUGGAAGGAAGUCUGAGAAAUAAUCUUGAUAUUUUAGCAAAUAGAUGUUGCAUCGGUAAUGAUGAUUCUUAUUCUUAUCUUUCUUCGGCCUUUCUAAGUCCUACAAAUGACUCCGCAAAUGUGACUGGCUGCCUGACGCAAACUCUCACUGCACCGAGGAAAUGUCCCAGAGCUUUUGUGUGCCAAGCUGUGACGGCUCAUCUAUCACUGAGGCCGCAAAUACACAUUACACUCCCAUUACAGACCAUCACAGCAACAACCGCAACAGUACACAGUCCGGAGGAAAGGCCCACUGCGAGGAGCUGCAUUUACACACGUCCACCAUUUCGCGCAAAAGGAAGUGGAGGCUUCUGCAAAUGCUGCUCUGGAGGUACUUCAAACAGAAACGAGACACGCAGUACGUUACCACAGUCCUCCCGUGGAUUUCACUUACCCCCUCGGCACGUCUUCUGUGAAGUCGAUGCGGGCAUUCGGGCCUCCUCCUCUUCCUCCCCCAAGGACUGUGUCUAUCAAACUAUCACUGGAAUGUCGAACCAGGCCCCUGAAGCCCACACGUACAGCCACACUCAGCAGCACUCAGCACAUGUCUCCGACUGCCAGCACAGGGAAAGAGACGUGGUCAAUCACACCGGACAGCAGAGGAGAGAGGAAAGAGCGCUGGAGAGUGGGAGGCGGACAAGCAUUUCAUCAGCAGAAAAAAAACAUGUAAUGUGCAAAACACAUCACGUGAUGGCUAAAGCACUUCAUUUGUUGGCAGAAAUUCAUUAUCAUUGUAUUGAAUAUGAAACCUCCGCAUGUUAUCCUGAAACCAAUAGGUCAAGACCAGUUGCAGCCUCUGUCUCCUGCCAAAGUUAUUGCGUUUUUCAAAUACAAGACCACAUAUUUCAAAGAUUCUGCACGUUGCUUCAUGUCGCAAGCAUGACACUGCAUACUCGGAGGUUUACUCAAAAAAAAAAGUCAUUUGAAGAACUCAAUUUAUUUGUGAGCUGGAAUUCCAUCCGUAGACCUGACUCAAAAACAUUCAUGAAAUAGAAUUAAAUUGAUUUAGUCCAACUCAUUUUGAUGAAAUUCAUCUCAAAUGACUAGAUACCAUUAAUCAAAUAUAACAAAAUGUUGUUCAUUAAACUCAAUCUAAACUCAAAAAGUAAGUCAUUGGAUGAACUCAAUUUAUUUGUGUGCAGGAUUUCCAUCUAAUAAAUAUGUGUAGCCUCAAUCUAAGAACAUCCAUGCAAUUUUAAUAAAAUCCUUCUAAAACAAUUAUUUUACUUAACAUUUUUUAUUUGAUCCCCUAUUAAGACACAUGAAACAUAAUGUAGUUCAAGCGUUUUUAUUGCAAAUGCUCAGAGAAGUCAGAACUGACCAGCCAAUACAAUACAAAAUACAAAAUAAACCAUCUGAUCAGGAAAUUAAUUAACAAAAGUCCAAAAAUUAUCAAGUGCAUUGUGUAUUUCCAUUAAUAACAAUGUAAGUUAAUAUCAACUAGCCUGUACUAUACUGUACUCGGUCCUCAGUACGAGUGUUAGUGUUAGUUUUAAUUGGUUUAGUCAUAAAACGCAGGUAAGUGAUGCAAUAGCUUCCCGGCUAAGCUAAUAUAAUAUGAGCUAAGACCACUUGUUACCUUGGUUACGAUAACCACUUUCAGGCGGCGCCCCGAAGGAAUGCAACUUGUAAAUAUUGAUGCAUUGUAACGUUGAGAGACAGUAAUACAGGAUAAUUUAUAUUAUAGAUUUAUAUUUAUAUGUAUGUAGC
Long non-coding RNA from Gasterosteus aculeatus aculeatus (three-spined stickleback), 1856 nucleotides. NCBI's taxonomy places the organism in Eukaryota, Metazoa, Chordata, Actinopteri, Perciformes, Gasterosteidae. The record is from Ensembl.